ACAGUGUAUGAUAUACCAUUUUGAAUCUAUGAGUCUGUACUUUUAAAAAUAUAUUCAGACAGAUGGCCUGAUAGUGUUGUAAUGUAGUUUAUUCUUCAUGUUGAACUGUGUAGUUACUGUAACUGCCAGAGACAGAGUACAUUCCAAAUGGCACCCUAUUUCCUAGUCAAAGUAGUGCACUUUAUAGCGAAUAGGGUGCCAUUUGGGAUGCCAGCUGACAGAGAACAAAUUAUAGAACAGAAGCUUAUGCAGAUCAGUUGAGGAGCUCACAGAAGCCUAAACACUGAGGAAGACAACAGCAACCAUUUUGAGGGAAUACCAAUACAACUAUGGAACUUGGAGUGUUUCUCAUCAUCAUUUUUUCAGUAAUAGGCAGACUCUGCUCUGUAACAAGCACAACUACAGAUCCUAAUAUGACAACCGCAACAGAGGCACCUGCUACAACAACCACAGCUGUCGGUGCAUCUCCUGCUCCAACAACCACAGCUGUAGGUGCAUCUCUUGCUCCAACAACCACAGACGUAGCUCCUACAACAACAACAAUAACUGAGGCUCUUACUACAACAACAACUGAAGCUCCUACAACAACAACCACAGAUCCAUUUACUACAACAGCUCCUACUACAACAACCACAGCUGCAGCUGCAGCUCCUACUACGACAACCACAAAUCCAUUUACUACAACAACAGCUCUUACUACGACAACCACAACUGCAGCUCCUACUACAACAACCACAACUACAGCUCCUACUACGACAACCACAACUGCAGCUCCUAC
Molecule: non-coding RNA, 778 nt
Organism: Oncorhynchus mykiss (rainbow trout)
Lineage: Eukaryota; Metazoa; Chordata; Actinopteri; Salmoniformes; Salmonidae
Source: RefSeq, a predicted model, not a curated record